UUAUUUAACGAUUUUUGUCAAAGGUUUGGAAAAUUAAUAUUACCAAAAUUUUAUUUAAUAACGAGAUAAAAAUCCUUUUUCAGAAAAUUUUAUUUACUUUUGUUCUGUGGAGAUACAGAUUAAUGGAACCGCAGCGCGCUAAAAUUUACUUUAGAGUGUAUGUAACCAGGUGUCCUAUAAGCGCAAGCACUGAAACCAAAUUAAUGUAACGAAAUAUCUAAUAUACGUUCCACGGUUGGCUAACUGGCUACCCUAAAAUUGCGUUUUAGAUAUUUGGUCAGAAGCCAAGAAUCACAGCUACACAGACAGAACCGGUAAACGCGCGCUUUUAAUUAAAUAACGCGACCCAGCAACGUGUGCAAAAUACCAGCGAUUUCUCCUCUUAUUCUUAUUUUAUCCCCCGCAUUUCUACUACUUUUGCUUCUUUCGUUCGGUGGAAAUUGUAAUUAGUUCCUAUUAAAUUUCGGUAUGCAAUGGUCGCAACAAUGGGAAAACGAGGAUACGAAGGUACGAAUCUUCUCGAUUACUCAUACUUUUACUUCACUUUUUUAGAUCUUUUUUCACUUAGAAUUUUGGUAAUUUAAUACACAAUAAAAUUAUCAAAAUGAUCAGAAAUAGUUCCAAUCCACGAGAUUUUUUCUUUUUAUUUUUUUAAUCAUCAGAGUCUACUUUCCAAUUUUUUUUUCUUUUCUAUUCCUGAAAUUAAAUAUCGAAUUACAUGGAUAUGCAGUAGGUGAUUAGGAAGAAGAAAAAAAAAGAAACUCUAUUGAAAAUUGAAUUCAAUUUUUCAAGAAGCGAGGAAUCCCUUUAAUACCUUCAUUUCACAAGAAUUUGGAAGCUUAAGAUGUAAAGAUUUUUGAACUGCUUUGCAAAGAGUUGUGCGUUUGUCGGAUGUUGCAACUCGUCGAUUUCGAGAAGAAACAUUUCCAUCCUCGCUUUGUCUCGAAAAGUCUCGACAUCUUCAAGAUAGAUAUGUACACGAUUGGACUGAAGUUUAUAGUCGACGUAAAAGUCAACUUUGCAACAGUUGCAAACGUGCAAGUAGGAAUUCUCUCAGCAUCGAGAUUUUCCUGUCACUGUCGGUUGUAGUUUGCGCCACUUUGAACGCGAUUUCUCAGUUAAAGAGACACAUCUGAUGUCGCCUAUCUUGCGGAGAUAGUUGCACGCUUCCCAAGUUUCAGCCUUUAGGGACUCGAGGAAUCAAAAGAUCAUGAUAUUUCGUCAUCGAUUUUUUUUUUUUUUCAGUCUUUUUCUAUCAGUGUUUUCAAAGCAUCGUAAAAAAAAAUAAAACCAUUUAGAAGAGGAGAUAAGAUUUGCCAAUAAGAAUGCCAAUAAGAUUUCCAUGGAAAAAAAAUAUCUAAAAAUUCAUUAUCACGAACAAAUAAAACAUUUCUGUGACAUUUAAUGUGUGAUAUGAAAAGAAAUAGGAAGAGGAAUAACGUUUCGAGUAAGAAUCGUUCCACUAUUACUCGUCGUGUAAAAAAAAGUAAAGAAAAUGGACAAAUGGAUUCCACGAGUUAAGCUUGUACUGAAGAAACCAUAAAGAAUGGAGAUUGUCAUCUUCAAAUGGAUCAGAAUACGAAAUUUUACUUCCAUCCUUACUUAUGGAUUAUCAUUCUCUCAAAAAUCUACAGAAAAAUGAAUUGUUACAGAAAAUGUGUGCAGAAGAUUUAAACAUAUAUGGAACAUCUUUGGAUAUUUCUGGAUUCUGGAUCCAUAAUUCUGGAGACCAAAACGGAUACAAAAUUUCUGCUGAAAGUUUAUAUUAUUAAGUUACAAGAUUUAAGUUCAGAUGAAGCGUAGAUGGGACGGAGACAGAACGGUAUCUCCUUCUCGCUUAUUAUUCAUCUGAUGGUAUUAAAUUCUUGGAAACGACAAAACAUCAAAAGCCUAGUAGGGAAGUUUCGUUGCAGAAACGCUUGCACAUGACUGGAGGAUCGUUAAUGAGCGCGAAUAGACUCCUAACGGCGUUAAUUGUUGCCACAGGCCAAGACGGAAGUGCUUGUAUUUACGUAAGUUCCUCCCGUUCAAAACAUUGUCAUAAUCAUGGCGCAACUUUGAAUAAAGUUGCCAACAGAAUACAGUGUACAUAUAUAUAUUCGUGCACAAAUGUUAAUGACCAUCAAGAUUACUUGGCUACGCUGAUAACUUGGGCCACGCAGUCUAAUAAUUACGGUUGUCAAGGUUAGAGAUUUCGCCUCGAAAGCCGAGACCAGAGUUUCGGUUUCUUGAGUUACUAAAGUUGUAUUGAAUUAAAAUAUAAAAAGGAAUAAAAAUUUGUACGAAAAUGGAUUUUGAAAGAAACGCAAAAUUAUAUUAGGAAAGAGACGAUUUAUUUUGGAUAUAUCGAAAUAAGAAUGUUUUCUUCUGAAAAAUUUACAAUUGAAGACGAUCUUUUAGGUAGGACUGAUAACAAAUUCAGAAGUUGAAUGAAUAAUAAUUAUCAAAGGUGGAGGGGAAAAAAACUUUGACGUUCUGUAUCUAUUAAUAAUUUUACCUUAGUUUCCGUAAUUUUAACUUAACUCUUAUGUUAAUUUAUGUUAUUCAAAUUUUUACGCUGCUCUUGACGUGCUGCCUUUUGACAGUGGGCUCAGCUGUCGGCGGCCCUGUACUGAAUUAUUCAUAUUUCUGCAUAAUGAACUCUAUUGGCGUUUUAUAAUAGGAACAUAAAAUUACACUCUUUUGGGGGAAAUUUAACAAAUUAUUAUUAAAAUAUAUUAUUAUGAAUUAAAAAGCGGCUAAGAGAAAUUGUACAAAAGAAUUUCAUUGCUAGAUGAACAAUGCACGUGUUUCAAUUCUGUUUUCUUAUCGUUUUAAUUAUUAUUUUUAACAUAUGUUAAUAAGGAUUUUUUUUUGACUAUAUUUUUAUAGAUA
Molecule: long non-coding RNA, 2874 nt
Organism: Apis mellifera (honey bee)
Lineage: Eukaryota; Metazoa; Arthropoda; Insecta; Hymenoptera; Apidae
Exons: 6
Source: RefSeq, a predicted model, not a curated record